CCCUAUGGGGUGCAGCAGGCGCGAAACCUCCACAAUGCACGCAAGUGCGAUGGGGCUACCUCGAGUGCCGCCUGAAGAAGGCGGCUUUUCCACUGUCUAACCAGCUGUGGGAAUAAGAGGGGGGCAAGACUGGUGUCAGCCGCCGCGGUAACACCAGCUCCUCGAGUGGUGGGGAUGAUUAUUUGGCCUAAAGCGUUCGUAGCCGGCUCAGUAAAUCCCUCGUUAAAUCCAACGUCCCAAGCGUUGGGCUGCGAGAGACACUGCUGAGCUAGAGGGUGGGCGAGGUCAGCGGUAUUUCUGGGGUAGGGGCGAAAUCCUUUGAUCCCAGGAGGACCACCAGUGGCGAAGGCUGUUGACCAGAACACGCCUGACGGUGAGGGACGAAAGCUGGGGUAGCGAAUCGGAUUAGAUACCCGAGUAGUCCCAGCCGUAAACGAUGCAUGCUAGGUGUUGGAGCGGCUACGUGCCGCUUCAGUGCCACAGGGAAGCCAUUAAGCAUGCCGCCUGGGGAGUACGGCCGCAAGGCUGAAACUUAAAGGAAUUGGCGGGGGAGCACCACCAGGCGUGAAGCCUGCGGUUUAAUUGGAGUCAACGCCGGGAACCUUACCGGGAGCGACAGAAGAGUGAAGGCCAGGCUAAAGGUCUUGCCGGACGAUCUGAGAGGAGGUGCAUGGCC
This 676-nucleotide ribosomal RNA is filed under the name uncultured marine group III euryarchaeote. Its description in RNAcentral is "bacterial SSU rRNA". It matches the Rfam family "Archaeal small subunit ribosomal RNA", at positions 321 to 999 of the family's 1478-position model. Lineage: Archaea; Methanobacteriati; Thermoplasmatota; Thermoplasmata; Candidatus Thermoprofundales. The record is from RNAcentral.